Molecule: long non-coding RNA, 896 nt
Organism: Patella vulgata (common limpet)
Lineage: Eukaryota; Metazoa; Mollusca; Gastropoda; Patellidae
Exons: 4
Source: RefSeq, a predicted model, not a curated record
AAAGAGUGUAAAUCGGAUUUUAUUUCCGUCACAGUUCUAAAUCAUGGGAGUAGGCUAUUAAAUUAUCGAAGGAAGGAUAUUAAGCCUAUUUCUGUUCAGAAAAUAUGUCUAAUCAAAGACGGUUUGCCAAAAACCGUCAAGACCCAGGUGCCGCUGCUGCAAUCCGAGAAAAUGUUGCUUCCGCAAUGAGACAAAGUGCCAUUCAGGCAAGACCAAAGUUGGCAGAACCCAUAGAUUAUGAAACAUACAUUGUCAAAAACAAAGUUUUGUUGCAUAAUGACCCUCAACGUGAAAUGCUCAAUUUUCCACAUGAUGAUAUUGAGAUACCUCUGCCAAACCCCAGUAAAAAGAUUCGUACAGUUAAAUCUACAGUGCCUAAAUCGGCAAUGAAAGAAGGAUCAGCAGCAAGCUUGAUGGUACGAGAAUGUAUGAAAACAUACACAGAUAAUUGUCAUACUAUAAAGUUUAGAUAUGAAGCAUACUCUGGAAGUUAUCAACAAUUACCUAAAUUAGUUGAGUGUGAGCUAAAAAUGGAAUCCGUAUCUGCACUAAGGUUUUAAAAUAAUACUCACAGGGUCGUCCAGUCUUCACAAUAUAGUGGAGAUGACCCUGUAUGCCAUAUUGUAGUUUAUUGAAUAAUAAAAAGAGAUAAAACAUCCCGUCUGAAUUUUUUUCAGUACUACACUGAACACAUAAUAACUAUAUAUUUAUGACUGUCGUUUAUCUUUUGGGGGUAGGUGGCUACACAAGGGCAACCCUGGGGCAAAAAUUGGGGCUGUACCCAUGCAACUUUGAAUAAACAAUGGGUAUUCUAUUUUUAUUGUUCCCUGCCUUUCGAAGAAAGCAGGGGACUAUUAUAAUGGGUUCGUCAGUUUGUCUGUCCGUCACACUUUUUG